This is a non-coding RNA of Oryza nivara, 206 nucleotides long. The record is from Rfam. Lineage: Eukaryota; Viridiplantae; Streptophyta; Magnoliopsida; Poales; Poaceae.
AAUAAACGCAGUUGUGGGUUUCAGUGCCCAACGUUUGACUAUUCAUCUUAUUUGGAAUAUUACUAUGAUUAGUAUUUUUAUUGUUAUUAAAUGAUAAUAUAUGAAUAAUACUUUAUGCGUAACUUAAUUUUUUAAAAAAUCCAUAAAUUUUUUAAAUAAGACGGACGGUUAAACGUUGGAUGUGGAAAGUUAUGGUUACACUUAAA